GACGAACGCUGGCGGCGUGCUUAACACAUGCAAGUCGAGCGGAAAGGCCACUUCGGUGGUACUCGAGCGGCGAACGGGUGAGUAACACGUGAGUAAUCUGCCCCUCACUUUGGGAUAGCCACCGGAAACGGUGAUUAAUACCGGAUAUGACCAUAUGUCGCAUGGCGUGUGGUGGAAAGUUUUUCGGUGAGGGAUGUGCUCGCGGCCUAUCAGCUUGAUGGUGAGGUAAUGGCUCACCAUGGCUUCGACGGGUAGCCGGCCUGAGAGGGUGACCGGUCACACUGGGACUGAGACACGGCCCAGACGCCUACGGGAGGCAGCAGUGGGGAAUAUUGGACAAUGGGCGGAAGCCUGAUCCAGCAACGCCGCGUGAGGGAUGACGGCCUUCGGGUUGUAAACCUCUUCCAGUACCGACGAAGCGCAAGUGACGGUAGGUACAGAAGAAGCACCGGCCAACUACGUG
Molecule: ribosomal RNA, 463 nt
Filed under: uncultured bacterium
Lineage: Bacteria
Description: partial 16S ribosomal RNA
Rfam family: Bacterial small subunit ribosomal RNA
Source: RNAcentral